UUUAUGGCCCUCGAUGAGGUGAACGGUGGAGAUUCAAGUCCAUUAAUGAGUAGCUAAUCCUACAUUAGACUCCGAAGUAUUUCCCGCCACUGGCAGACGAGACGAGGGAGAAGGCUGAAGUUGAAGAAGAGAAGAGAAGCAAUGGAGUUGAGUCUGACCGGGAACGCCCUCAAGACCUUCGCGCGCUCCGUCACCUGCCUUGCGCGUGUCGGCAACGACCUAGCCAUUCAAGCUUCUCCUUCUCAGCUUGCUCUUCACACUCUUAAUUCAUCGCGGUCUGCCUUUAACUCAAUUACCUUUAAACCUGGCUUCUUCGAUAUCUAUACAAUUUCUGGCAAUCAAGUAGAAUGUAGCGUGCUCUUAAAGGCUGUUUGUUCUGUACUAAGGACACCUAUAGCUAGCAUAGAUAGCUUGAGCAUCAAAUUGCCUGAUCCCGAUGCAUCGAAAGUGCAGUGGACCUUAGAGUGCUUUAAUGGUAUGAGAAAAACCUAUUGGAUUACCUGCAAUGUCGAACCAAACAUACAACAAUUGUCCCUGGAUAGAAGAAAAUUCCCAAGUAACUUUGUAGUGAGGCCUCGAGAUCUCAACAGAUUGCUGGCUAAUUUUCAAUCAUCCCUUCAGGAGAUAACUAUUAUAGCAACAGAACCCAAUUCAUUGCCUUGUGAUGUAGCAAGUGAAAUUGGAGGCAAAGCUGUUGAACUUAGAAGUUAUAUGGACCCAACCAAAGAAAAUGACUCAUCAUUACAUACUCAACUAUGGAUAGAUCCCAUGGAAGAGUUCGUUCACUACACCCACACUGGAGACCCGGUAGAUGUGACUUUUGGGGUGAAGGAAUUGAAGGCAUUUCUUUCUUUUUGUGAAGGCUGUGAAGUUGACAUUCAUCUAUUCUUUGAGAAAGCUGGCGAGCCUAUUCUUAUGGCACCAAAAUUUGGUCUAGAUGAUGGUUCUAAUUCAAACUUUGACGCCACAUUUGUACUUGCAACCAUGUUGACAUCACAACUCCAUGAAAGCCAUCCGCAGCAAACUGCACAAGCUGAUACCACAAGGCACGUAGGGACUGAUAAUGGAACAGCGUCACAACCACAACAAGUCAAGUCUGGAGCAAAUAUUUCUGAGCAUCCAUCUGAUCACACCAGAAUUUGGUCCGAUCUCUCAGGGAGUGCAGCAAGAAAUGGAAAUGGCAAUGAAGGAAGACAGGUUCGAGAGGAACAAAAUUCAAAUGCUAGUGAACAGAGAGAAAUUACUAGAAUCAGCGCAAUGCAUAUAUCUAAAUCUGCAUCAGAUAGAGAAAAUGAACCUGUUAACCCUAAUGCCUUCUACAUGGAAAAGGAUCGGAUCAACGAGCCUCAAGAAAUUAAUGGUCAAGGUGUUUCACAACGCCAUUUCAGUAACUGGGUUGAUGCCAAUGAAGAUGAUGAUGAUGAUGAUGAGGGAGAGGGAGAGGAGACUGAAAUUUAUGUUCAGUCAACACCACCAUAUCAUUAAGAACGUUAGAGCUGCUAGUGCACUGUUUGAUCAGCUGAUAUCUGUUCUCUUCUUUUGUGUGUGGUGUACCUUGCUUGCUCUCGCAGUGAUGCCUAGCUUUUUGUUAAAGAUUGUAAUAUGCCCAUAAAAAUGUAUUAGACUGGACUGGACGUGUAGAUAGAUGUAAUCAAAGAACUGGUGACAGGUAAAUGGCCACCAUAGCUUUGACUCACCUCACGGUCCUCACCUGUAUAUAGUAAGACACAUAUACGCAUGAUUUUUUGCUUGGUAUUUUUCUGGGUUAAUGAUGAGAUUGAGAUGUGUGGCUAAUGUUGUAACAACUGCUUCUUCCUCCAGCUUACUAACUGAACCCCAGAUGAAUCAUAUAUUAAGUGACCAAGUUUGUUGAUACUGGCUUGGCUUAUGCAUUAUAUUAUAUCAAACCUCCAUGUGGGACCCAAUUCACACCUAGUUGCCACGGACAGAUGAGGAUUUUUGUGUUUUCUUGUUUAUGACACGAUCCCUGAACCAAGCUUACAUUCCAGGAUGUCAUUAUAAUGACUACUUGCCUAUAUCAGUCAUCGAGAUAUUGUUUGUUCUUAUUUUAUUAAUUUAUUUCGUUAUUGGAUGUGUUUUAGGACUGACUGAUAAUGGCUCUGUCUUUAUUUAUUUCCUUUUAAUAUUAGCAAUUGGUAUUGGAGCUGUUGGAUCAUA
Molecule: RNA transcript, 2178 nt
Organism: Humulus lupulus (European hop)
Lineage: Eukaryota; Viridiplantae; Streptophyta; Magnoliopsida; Rosales; Cannabaceae
Exons: 11
Source: RefSeq, a predicted model, not a curated record